Molecule: ribosomal RNA, 750 nt
Filed under: uncultured bacterium
Lineage: Bacteria
Description: bacterial SSU rRNA
Rfam family: Bacterial small subunit ribosomal RNA
Source: RNAcentral
CGAAAGCGUGGGGAGCAAACAGGAUUAGAUACCCUGGUAGUCCAUGCCCUAAACGAUGUCGACUGGUUGUUGGGGGUUUGACACUCUCAGUAACGAAGCUAACGCGUGAAGUCGACCGCCUGGGGAGUACGGCCGCAAGGUUAAAACUCAAAGGAAUUGACGGGGACCCGCACAAGCGGUGGAUUAUGUGGAUUAAUUCGAUGCAACGCGAAAAACCUUACCUACCCUUGACAUGUCCUGGAGGCUGGGGAAACCCGGCUGUGCCCGAAAGGGAACGGGAACACAGGUGCUGCAUGGCUGUCGUCAGCUCGUGCCGUGAGAUGUUGGGUUAAGUCCCGCAACGAGCGCAACCCUUGUCAUUAGUUGCUACAUUCAGUUGGGCACUCUAAUGAGACUGCCGGUGACAAACCGGAGGAAGGUGGGGAUGACGUCAAGUCCUCAUGGCCCUUAUGGGUAGGGCUUCACACGUAAUACAAUGGCGCGUACAGAGGGCUGCUAAGCCGCGAGGUAGAGCCAAUCCCUUAAAGCGCGUCGUAGUCCGGAUUGCAGUCUGCAACUCGACUGCAUGAAGUCGGAAUCGCUAGUAAUCGCGGAUCAGCAUGGCGCGGUGAAUACGUUCCCGGGUCUUGUACACACCGCCCGUCACACUAUGGGAGUGGGUUUCACCAGAAGCCGGUCGCUUAACCGCAAGGAUGGCGCCGACCACGGUGAGAUUCAUGACUGGGGUGAAGUCGUAACAAGGUAGCCGUA